Molecule: ribosomal RNA, 253 nt
Filed under: uncultured bacterium
Lineage: Bacteria
Description: partial 16S ribosomal RNA
Rfam family: Bacterial small subunit ribosomal RNA
Source: RNAcentral
UACGAGUGCUCCAAGCGUUAUCCGGAAUUACUGGGCGUAAAGGGUGUGUAGGCGGUUUGAUUAGUCUUCUGUUAAAUUCUUCGGCUUAACCGGGGGCAUGCAGAGGAAACGGUCAAACUAGAGGAUGCGAGAGGUAUAUGGAACUCAUGGAGUAGGGGUGAAAUCCGUUGAUAUCAUGGGGAACACCAAAUGCGAAGGCAGUAUACUGGCGCACUCCUGACACUGAGACACGAAAGCGUGGGUAGCGAAUGGG